RNAcentral lists this ribosomal RNA (2900 nucleotides) under Klebsiella pneumoniae BWH 46. RNAcentral describes it as "bacterial LSU rRNA". It matches the Rfam family "Bacterial large subunit ribosomal RNA". Lineage: Bacteria; Pseudomonadati; Pseudomonadota; Gammaproteobacteria; Enterobacterales; Enterobacteriaceae. The record is from RNAcentral.
UUAAGCGACUAAGCGUACACGGUGGAUGCCCUGGCAGUCAGAGGCGAUGAAGGACGUGCUAAUCUGCGAAAAGCGUCGGUAAGGUGAUAUGAACCGUUAUAGCCGGCGAUGUCCGAAUGGGGAAACCCAGUGCAAUUCGUUGCACUAUCGUUAACUGAAUACAUAGGUUAACGAGGCGAACCGGGGGAACUGAAACAUCUAAGUACCCCGAGGAAAAGAAAUCAACCGAGAUUCCCCCAGUAGCGGCGAGCGAACGGGGAGCAGCCCAGAGUCUGAAUCAGCUUGUGUGUUAGUGGAACGGUCUGGAAAGUCCGACGGUACAGGGUGAUAGUCCCGUACACCAAAAUGCACAGGCUGUGAACUCGAAGAGUAGGGCGGGACACGUGGUAUCCUGUCUGAAUAUGGGGGGACCAUCCUCCAAGGCUAAAUACUCCUGACUGACCGAUAGUGAACCAGUACCGUGAGGGAAAGGCGAAAAGAACCCCGGCGAGGGGAGUGAAAAAGAACCUGAAACCGUGUACGUACAAGCAGUGGGAGCACCUUCGGGUGUGACUGCGUACCUUUUGUAUAAUGGGUCAGCGACUUAUAUUCUGUAGCAAGGUUAACCGUAUAGGGGAGCCGCAGGGAAACCGAGUCUUAACUGGGCGUUAAGUUGCAGGGUAUAGACCCGAAACCCGGUGAUCUAGCCAUGGGCAGGUUGAAGGUUGGGUAACACUAACUGGAGGACCGAACCGACUAAUGUUGAAAAAUUAGCGGAUGACUUGUGGCUGGGGGUGAAAGGCCAAUCAAACCGGGAGAUAGCUGGUUCUCCCCGAAAGCUAUUUAGGUAGCGCCUCGUGAAUUCAUCUUCGGGGGUAGAGCACUGUUUCGGCUAGGGGGUCAUCCCGACUUACCAACCCGAUGCAAACUACGAAUACCGAAGAAUGUUAUCACGGGAGACACACGGCGGGUGCUAACGUCCGUCGUGAAGAGGGAAACAACCCAGACCGCCAGCUAAGGUCCCAAAGUCAUGGUUAAGUGGGAAACGAUGUGGGAAGGCACAGACAGCCAGGAUGUUGGCUUAGAAGCAGCCAUCAUUUAAAGAAAGCGUAAUAGCUCACUGGUCGAGUCGGCCUGCGCGGAAGAUGUAACGGGGCUAAACCAUGCACCGAAGCUGCGGCAGCGACACUAUGUGUUGUUGGGUAGGGGAGCGUUCUGUAAGCCUGCGAAGGUGACCUGUGAGGCAUGCUGGAGGUAUCAGAAGUGCGAAUGCUGACAUAAGUAACGAUAAAGCGGGUGAAAAGCCCGCUCGCCGGAAGACCAAGGGUUCCUGUCCAACGUUAAUCGGGGCAGGGUGAGUCGACCCCUAAGGCGAGGCCGAAAGGCGUAGUCGAUGGGAAACAGGUUAAUAUUCCUGUACUUGGUGUUACUGCGAAGGGGGGACGGAGAAGGCUAUGUUAGCCGGGCGACGGUUGUCCCGGUUUAAGCAUGUAGGCUGAUUGUCCAGGCAAAUCCGGAUAAUCAAGGCUGAGGUGUGAUGACGAGGCACUACGGUGCUGAAGUAACAAAUGCCCUGCUUCCAGGAAAAGCCUCUAAGCAUCAGGUAACAUCAAAUCGUACCCCAAACCGACACAGGUGGUCAGGUAGAGAAUACCAAGGCGCUUGAGAGAACUCGGGUGAAGGAACUAGGCAAAAUGGUGCCGUAACUUCGGGAGAAGGCACGCUGGUGUGUAGGUGAAGUCCCUGCGGAUGGAGCUGAGACCAGUCGAAGAUACCAGCUGGCUGCAACUGUUUAUUAAAAACACAGCACUGUGCAAACACGAAAGUGGACGUAUACGGUGUGACGCCUGCCCGGUGCCGGAAGGUUAAUUGAUGGGGUUAUCCGUAAGGAGAAGCUCUUGAUCGAAGCCCCGGUAAACGGCGGCCGUAACUAUAACGGUCCUAAGGUAGCGAAAUUCCUUGUCGGGUAAGUUCCGACCUGCACGAAUGGCGUAAUGAUGGCCAGGCUGUCUCCACCCGAGACUCAGUGAAAUUGAACUCGCUGUGAAGAUGCAGUGUACCCGCGGCAAGACGGAAAGACCCCGUGAACCUUUACUAUAGCUUGACACUGAACAUUGAGCCUUGAUGUGUAGGAUAGGUGGGAGGCUUUGAAGCGUGGACGCCAGUCUGCGUGGAGCCAACCUUGAAAUACCACCCUUUAAUGUUUGAUGUUCUAACGUUGGCCCCUGACCGGGGUUGCGGACAGUGUCUGGUGGGUAGUUUGACUGGGGCGGUCUCCUCCCAAAGCGUAACGGAGGAGCACGAAGGUUAGCUAAUCCUGGUCGGACAUCAGGAGGUUAGUGCAAUGGCAUAAGCUAGCUUGACUGCGAGCGUGACGGCGCGAGCAGGUGCGAAAGCAGGUCAUAGUGAUCCGGUGGUUCUGAAUGGAAGGGCCAUCGCUCAACGGAUAAAAGGUACUCCGGGGAUAACAGGCUGAUACCGCCCAAGAGUUCAUAUCGACGGCGGUGUUUGGCACCUCGAUGUCGGCUCAUCACAUCCUGGGGCUGAAGUAGGUCCCAAGGGUAUGGCUGUUCGCCAUUUAAAGUGGUACGCGAGCUGGGUUUAGAACGUCGUGAGACAGUUCGGUCCCUAUCUGCCGUGGGCGCUGGAGAAUUGAGGGGGGCUGCUCCUAGUACGAGAGGACCGGAGUGGACGCAUCACUGGUGUUCGGGUUGUCAUGCCAAUGGCACUGCCCGGUAGCUAAAUGCGGAAGAGAUAAGUGCUGAAAGCAUCUAAGCACGAAACUUGCCCCGAGAUGAGUUCUCCCUGAGACUUUAAGUCUCCUGAAGGAACGUUGAAGACGACGACGUUGAUAGGCCGGGUGUGUAAGCGCAGCGAUGCGUUGAGCUAACCGGUACUAAUGAACCGUGAGGCUUAACCUU